Molecule: ribosomal RNA, 497 nt
Filed under: uncultured bacterium
Lineage: Bacteria
Description: partial 16S ribosomal RNA
Rfam family: Bacterial small subunit ribosomal RNA
Source: RNAcentral
GAUGAACGCUGGCGGCGUGCCUAAUACAUGCAAGUCGAGCGAACGGACGAGAAGCUUGCUUCUCUGAUGUUAGCGGCGGACGGGUGAGAAACACGUGGAUAACCUACCUAUAAGACUGGGAUAACUUCGGGAAACCGUAGCUAAUACCGGAUAAUAUUUUGAACCGCAUGGUUCAAAAGUGAAAGACGGUCUUGCUGUCACUUAUAGAUGGAUCCGCGCUGCAUUAGCUAGUUGGUAAGGUAACGGCUUACCAAGGCAACGAUGCAUAGCCGACCUGAGAGGGUGAUCGGCCACACUGGAACUGAGACACGGUCCAGACUCCUACGGGAGGCAGCAGUAGGGAAUCUUCCGCAAUGGGCGAAAGCCUGACGGAGCAACGCCGCGUGAGUGAUGAAGGUCUUCGGAUCGUAAAACUCUGUUAUUAGGGAAGAACAUAUGUGUAAGUAACUGUGCACAUCUUGACGGUACCUAAUCAGAAAGCCACGGCUAACUACGUG